Molecule: long non-coding RNA, 1117 nt
Filed under: Takifugu rubripes (torafugu)
Lineage: Eukaryota; Metazoa; Chordata; Actinopteri; Tetraodontiformes; Tetraodontidae
Description: lncRNA (ENSTRUG00000032274.1)
Source: RNAcentral
CAGGGGGAAGAUGGUGGUUCAGGUUCGAUGGAUUAAAGGAUUGUUUCAUCUGAUGCUGCUGCUUCGGGCCGCAGCUGAAACCACACAGCUGGUCAGAGAAGGAGACAAAGCCAUGCUGACCUGCGGCAACCUCAAAGAGAAUCCGGCAAAAUGCGGAGGUACAACCUGGACUUUUACUGCUGCCGGUACCAGAACGAACCAGGAACUGGUCACACUGGGACGUGUCAAGGAAAUACGGCAGCUCAGAAUUUCACUGUCAGAGGACUGUUCUCUGCUGAUCCCGGAGGUCCGAGCUGAGGACGCCGGACUUUACGCCUGUCAGCAGUUCAGAUCAGGGGUCGAACAGCAGCCGGAUGCCCCCGUGUACCUGACCGUGGUUACCUUGACAGCGCAGGUCAAGGCGGACUAUGUCGAACUUACCUGCUGCGUGUUCACCUAUAAGACCUGCUCACACAAGGUGACGUGGUUCUUCAACGAAGUCCAAAUGAAAAAGGGGACUGGCCUGGUCCUCACGUCCCAGAAUUCCUGCAGCGCCACUGCGAACGUGAUGACCUGUCACGAGUAUUGGAAGAGGAAUACCCUCCUGACGUGUCAAGUCCAAUAUGAUCAAGUGGUUAAGACCUUUCCACUCAGGGCUCCAGGUGUUGCAUCAGCAGAAACAACAACAACUGUGUCGACCAGAACAGCCGACGACUCGGCGCCCCUCCGAGAUUUCUGGUGGUUUUUUAUCAUCAUUGCUGCCAUUUUUGUGGUGUUUUUAGUGGUUGUUGUGAUAGUUGUCAAAAAGAAACAAACUAAAGCUGUUGAAAAGAACUGCAAUGAUGGACGGAACACACACUCAGCAGUGACUCAUUCUUCCCCAGAAAUCAGCCAGGACAAGAGGGAUGCUGAAGAUCCUGUUUCUUACGCCACCAUCAUAUUCAGGUCCCCACCGAGAGCUCAGGUAAGGGUUUUCUAUUAAUUUAUAUAUUCCAGAUAUGCGUGUAUUCCAGAUCAAUGAUGCCUUCAGGACAGGAACUGAAACAACAUGGAGGUAUAUCAUGACAAAUUUAGAGGAAGUAAAGUUUUGCAACAGCUCCUGUAGUGACAUAAUGUUUCCUGACUCACAAAUACCGGU